UGGUCUGCUGGGCGAUGGAGUCACUGGCCUCAAGACGGCCCGUGGCUUGUUGGAAGUGAAGCGGGUCGACACCGCCCAGGCCGUCCA
This 87-nucleotide transfer RNA is filed under the name Mycobacterium tuberculosis. Its description in RNAcentral is "tRNA-Leu(aag)". Lineage: Bacteria; Bacillati; Actinomycetota; Actinomycetes; Mycobacteriales; Mycobacteriaceae. The record is from RNAcentral.